AGGGUUUGAUCCUGGAUCAGGAUGAACGCUAGCGGCAGGCCUAACACAUGCAAGUCGAGGGGUAACAGGGGAGCUUGCUCUCGCUGACGACCGGCGCACGGGUGCGUAACGCGUAUACAAUCUACCUUUUGCUGAGGGAUAGCCCAGAGAAAUUUGGAUUAACACCUCAUAGUAUGUAUUAAUGGCAUCAUUAAUAUAUUAAAGGUUACGGCAAAAGAUGAGUAUGCGUUCUAUUAGCUAGAUGGUGUGGUAACGGCACACCAUGGCAACGAUAGAUAGGGGCCCUGAGAGGGGGAUCCCCCACACUGGUACUGAGACACGGACCAGACUCCUACGGGAGGCAGCAGUGAGGAAUAUUGGGCAAUGGAGGCAACUCUGACCCAGCCAUGCCGCGUGCAGGAAGACUGCCCUAUGGGUUGUAAACUGCUUUUAUACAGGAAGAAACACUCCCUCGUGAGGGAGCUUGACGGUACUGUAAGAAUAAGGAUCGGCUAACUCCGUGCCAGCAGCCGCGGUAAUACGGAGGAUCCAAGCGUUAUCCGGAAUCAUUGGGUUUAAAGGGUCCGUAGGUGGAUAAUUAAGUCAGAGGUGAAAUCCUGCAGCUCAACUGUAGAAUUGCCUUUGAUACUGGUUAUCUUGAGUUAUUAUGAAGUAGUUAGAAUAUGUAGUGUAGCGGUGAAAUGCAUAGAUAUUACAUAGAAUACCAAUUGCGAAGGCAGAUUACUAAUAAUAUACUGACACUGAUGGACGAAAGCGUGGGGAGCGAACAGGAUUAGAUACCCUGGUAGUCCACGCCGUAAACGAUGGUCACUAGCUGUUUGGACUUCGGUCUGAGUGGCUAAGCGAAAGUGAUAAGUGACCCACCUGGGGAGUACGUUCGCAAGAAUGAAACUCAAAGGAAUUGACGGGGGCCCGCACAA
RNAcentral lists this ribosomal RNA (920 nucleotides) under uncultured Bacteroidota bacterium. RNAcentral describes it as "bacterial SSU rRNA". It matches the Rfam family "Bacterial small subunit ribosomal RNA", at positions 8 to 928 of the family's 1533-position model. The record is from RNAcentral. Lineage: Bacteria; Pseudomonadati; Bacteroidota.